Molecule: ribosomal RNA, 478 nt
Filed under: uncultured bacterium
Lineage: Bacteria
Description: partial 16S ribosomal RNA
Rfam family: Bacterial small subunit ribosomal RNA
Source: RNAcentral
GACGAACGCUGGCGGCGUGCUUAACACAUGCAAGUCGAACGGUAAGGCCCUUCGGGGUACACGAGUGGCGAACGGGUGAGUAACACGUGGGUGACCUGCCCUGCACUUCGGGAUAAGCCUGGGAAACUGGGUCUAAUACCGGAUAGGACCCUGGGAUGCAUGUCCUGGGGUGGAAAGCUUUUGCGGUGUGGGAUGGGCCCGCGGCCUAUCAGCUUGUUGGUGGGGUGAUGGCCUACCAAGGCGACGACGGGUAGCCGGCCUGAGAGGGGGACCGGCCACACUGGGACUGAGAUACGGCCCAGACUCCUACGGGAGGCAGCAGUGGGGAAUAUUGCACAAUGGGCGCAAGCCUGAUGCAGCGACGCCGCGUGAGGGAUGACGGCCUCCGGGUUGUAAACCUCUUUCAGCACAGACGAAGCGCAAGUGACGGUAGGUGCAGAAGAAGGACCGGCCAACUACGUGCCAGCAGCCGCCGUAA